This 152-nucleotide non-coding RNA is filed under the name Gammaproteobacteria bacterium. RNAcentral describes it as "partial 6S RNA". It matches the Rfam family "6S / SsrS RNA", at positions 26 to 187 of the family's 187-position model. From Rfam's summary of the family: E. coli 6S RNA was the first non coding RNA to be sequenced, but its function was unknown until recently. It consists of 184 nucleotides that fold into an extended hairpin structure with a large single-stranded internal bulge. The record is from RNAcentral. Lineage: Bacteria; Pseudomonadati; Pseudomonadota; Gammaproteobacteria.
GUACAUUCUUGAGCCGAUAUUGUUACCCAGGGGGCUAAAAUCUAGUGAUGUGAGCAUGUCCGCUCGACGGAAAGCCUAAUUCAUUAGUCGUUGCUCCCACUUGAACCUAUGGGUUCAAGGAAAACGGAGUCCACGGUAUUUGCGGAGAACGC